RNAcentral lists this ribosomal RNA (454 nucleotides) under uncultured bacterium. Its description in RNAcentral is "partial 16S ribosomal RNA". It matches the Rfam family "Bacterial small subunit ribosomal RNA", at positions 28 to 507 of the family's 1533-position model. The record is from RNAcentral.
GAUGAACGCUGACAGAAUGCUUAACACAUGCAAGUCGACUUGCACCUCGGUCUGCGUGGUGGACGGGUGAGUAACGCGUAAAGAACUUGCCUCACAGCUAGGGACAACAUUUGGAAACGAAUGCUAAUAGCUGAUAUUAUGACUUUAGGGCAUCCUAGAAUUAUGAAAGCUAUAUGCGCUGUGCGAGAGCUUUGCGUCACAUUAGCUAGUUGGAGAGGUAACGGCUGAGCAAGGCGAUGAUGGGUAGCCGGCCUGGGAGGGUGAACGGCCACAAGGGGACUGGGACACGGCCCUUAGGCAAUCGGGAGGAAGGAGGGGAGAAUAUUGGACGAUAGACCGAGAGUGUGAACCAGGAAUUCGGUGUGCAAGAUGAAGUUUUUCGGGAUGAAAAGUGCUGUGAGAAUGGAAGAAAAAAAUGACGGUACCAAAAGAAGAAGUAACGGCUAAAUACGUG